AGCCCCGUCAUCUAGUGGCCAAGGAUCGCGGGCUCUGGACCCGUGUACGUCGGUUCGAAUCCGACCGGGGCUA
This 73-nucleotide transfer RNA is filed under the name Microcaldota archaeon. Its description in RNAcentral is "Candidatus Micrarchaeota archaeon (hot springs metagenome) tRNA-Gln". It matches the Rfam family "tRNA". Rfam says of the family: Transfer RNA (tRNA) molecules are approximately 80 nucleotides in length. Their secondary structure includes four short double-helical elements and three loops (D, anti-codon, and T loops). Lineage: Archaea; Nanobdellati; Microcaldota. The record is from RNAcentral.